GAUGGACGCUGGCGGCGUGCCUAAUACAUGCGAGUCGAGCGAACGGACGAGAAGCUUGCUUCUCUGAUGUUAGCGGCGGACGGGUGAGUAACACGUGGAUAACCUACCUAUAAGACUGGGAUAACUUCGGGAAACCGGAGCUAAUACCGGAUAAUAUUUUGAACCGCAUGGUUCAAAAGUGAAAGACGGUCUUGCUGUCACUUAUAGAUGGAUCCGCGCUGCAUUAGCUAGUUGGUAAGGUAACGGCUUACCAAGGCAACGAUGCAUAGCCGACCUGAGAGGGUGAUCGGCCACACUGGAACUGAGACACGGUCCAGACUCCUACGGGAGGCAGCAGUAGGGAAUCUUCCGCAAUGGGCGAAAGCCUGACGGAGCAACGCCGCGUGAGUGAUGAAGGUCUUCGGAUCGUAAAACUCUGUUAUUAGGGAAGAACAUAUGUGUAAGUAACUGUGCACAUCUUGACGGUACCUAAUCAGAAAGCCACGGCUAACUACGUG
RNAcentral lists this ribosomal RNA (497 nucleotides) under uncultured bacterium. RNAcentral's name for it is "partial 16S ribosomal RNA". It matches the Rfam family "Bacterial small subunit ribosomal RNA", at positions 28 to 507 of the family's 1533-position model. The record is from RNAcentral.